ACGUCUAGCGCCCGCGGGCCUGACUGGCGUGAUAGACGACGCUUUCCGCACUUCAGGGCGUAGCGCGCGCCUCACAACGCUAACCUGAAAGGUGAAGCUCUGAAGAACUUUGCCCCGGGUUUCCCGGUCUAAGGAGAGGAAAGGGCCCCAGAGAACCAUGAAACUGCCCAAGCCGGCGGGGCCGAAUAUUCCAUCAGGAGUCCAAGGCGGGCGAGGGCCGGGCCUCCGACGGAGAACGGCGGCUCCUGGGACUCCCGAGACCCGAGGCCGGGAGUGGCCCGUCCGAGGGGGCGGCUCGGCCGCGGAGGGGCCCAGGCCCCGGCCACUCCGGCCCGGUCCCCGCGCGGCCUCCGGCCGGUCCCCCCGCGUUUUCUCCUCCCGGUUGUUUGCACCGUCCCUUCCGCGAGUAAAUGACACCCACGGCCCCGUGACAGUGACCGGGAGGCGUGCACGCGCUGGACCCGGGCUGGGCCGGAGCUGCGGACCCGAGAGGCCGCCGGGGCUCGAGGCGGCGAGGCUUCCAGCAGGUGUGACUGAGGAUUACAUUUCACUGAGGAUUAAGGUAGAAGAUUGAGGCUUAAAAACAGCAUUGGAGGGCUUCCCUGGUGGCGCAGUGGUUGAGAGUCCGCCUGCCGAUGCAGGGGACACGGGUUCGUGCCCCGGUCCGGGAAGAUCCCACGUGCCGUGGAGCGGCUGGGCCCGUGAACCAUGGCUGCUGAGCCUGCGCGUCCGGAGCCUGUGCUCCGCAACGGGAGAGGCCACAACGAUGUCACAUAAAAAUGUGCAAAUGGGGCUUCCCUGGUGGCACAGUGGUUAAGAAUCUGCCUGCCAAGGCGGGGGAUGCGGAUUCGAGCUCUGGUCUGGAAAGAUCCCACAUGCCACGGAGUAACUAAGCCCAUGAGAUGCAACUACUGAGCCUGUGCUCUAGAGCCUGUGAGCCACAGCUACUGAAGCCCACGCGCCUGGAGCCCGUGCUCCACAAGAGAAGCCACUGCAAUGAGAAGCCCGCACACAGCAGCAAGGAGUAGCCCCCGCUUGCCAGAACUAGAGAAAGCCCACACGCAGCAACAAAGACCCAACGCAGCCAAAAAUAAAUAAAUAAAUAAAUAAAAUAAAAAAUUUUUAAAUGUACAAAUGGAUAAAAAAAUUUUCAGAAUUCUUUUGAAGUACAGCUAAGAAAAGAUGUUGGCUAUAAGCCACAGUGCAGAGCGUCAGCAAUAGGAUGUAAAGGCACUUUUGUUUCAACAUGAAGAUGACAUAAAGGGGGAGAAGAGGUGAAGGACUUGUGACUUUAUUAUAUCCUCCCCACCCCCAUUCUAGGAUAUCCUAGGGGCCAAAGUCCCAGUGGGGAGUAAGUAGGGAAAUGCAAGAAACAAGCUAAUAAGUUUGGGAGAAUCAAGAGACUUGUUCCUUGCCUUCUAGGAGGCAGUAAGUAGCUCAGGAAGAGUCAAGCAUCAUAGUCCCACAACAUGAGUUGACCACAGUGCAGUAAAAGUGCAUUAGGGGGAGAGAGGACCCGAGAGACCACCACCUUGACUCCCCAUGUCUGAUGAGUGGUAUAGCAGACCUUCCCAAGUUCUCAUCUGGCCCUCUGGGGAUAAGGAAGUUAUAGAAAACAAUUAUGUUUUUGUAUUAAAAAAAUUAGACUGUUAUGCAUCCAUCUUAUGGAAUACUCUGCAAUAAAAAGAAAUGAACUGUCUUCGACAUUCACAACAAACCUGGAUGAACUGCCAGGAAAUGAGACAGUGUAAAAAGCCAAUCUCAAGAGAAUACAUACUACAUGACUUACUUUAUGUAACAGUUGUGAAAUAACAAUCAGAGUGACAGAAAGCAGAUCAGUGGUUGCCAGGGGUGAGGGAAGCAGGGAGAGAGUCGGCAUGGAUAUGAAGGUGGUGGCUUGAGGGAGCCUUGUGGUAAUGGUACCACUGUCCUGAUUGUGGUGGUUACAUGAAGCUACACAUGUGAUAAAACUGUGAAGAGCUACACACACUCUGGUAAACACGUAUAACUAGCGUAACUGAAUAACCUCUGUGGAUUGAGCCAAUGUCAGUUUCAUAGAUUUGAUAUACUAGUUAUGCAGGAUGCUAACCCUGGAGAAACCUAGGUGAAGGGUGCACAAGGACCUCCCUGUACAUUACAUUGCAGCUUCUAUCAUCUAUAAUGAUUUCCAAAUAAAAAGUUAACCAAUAUUAGGGAGAGUGGGGCAUUAGGUUGGUAACUUACUUUCAGAUGGUUUUCAGGGGAAAAAAAAGUUUUUUGUAUUGUAGUUGCAGUUUUGCUUUACAUUUAAUUUCAAAAAUAUAAAAAAUUAUUUUUAAAAAGCUUUUUUAGGAUUAUCUAUUUUUAAAUAUUAAUCAGCCUUUUUCUCCAUUCCACUAAAGUGAAUAAUUGGAAAUUUGGUUCUAGAUAUGUCUACUGUUUCUUAACUGCUCUACUGUUUCUUAACUGCUCUGUCUCUGACACUGGGGUGAGGCGGGGGGACCCCAUCCAGAUUAAGCACCCACCUUGCCA
Orcinus orca (killer whale) is the source of this 2511-nucleotide RNA transcript. It is a transcript of the gene named collagen alpha-1(XII) chain-like, with no coding region annotated. NCBI's taxonomy places the organism in Eukaryota, Metazoa, Chordata, Mammalia, Artiodactyla, Delphinidae. The record is from RefSeq and is a predicted model, not a curated record. The transcript has 4 exons.